GAGUUUGAUCGUGGCUCAGAUUGAACGCUGGCGGCAUGCCUUACACAUGCAAGUCGAACGGCAGCAUGAUCUAGCUUGCUAGAUUGAUGGCGAGUGGCGAACGGGUGAGUAAUACAUCGGAACGUGCCCUGUAGUGGGGGAUAACUAGUCGAAAGAUUAGCUAAUACCGCAUACGACCUGAGGGUGAAAGUGGGGGACCGCAAGGCCUCAUGCUAUAGGAGCGGCCGAUGCUGAUUAGCUAGUUGGUGGGGUAAAGGCCCACCAAGGCGACGAUCAGUAGCUGGUCUGAGAGGACGAUCAGCCACACUGGGACUGAGACACGGCCCAGACUCCUACGGGAGGCAGCAGUGGGGAAUUUGGACAAUGGGCGAAAGCCUGAUCCAGCAAUGCGCGUGUGUGAAGAAGGCCU
Molecule: ribosomal RNA, 409 nt
Filed under: uncultured microorganism
Description: bacterial SSU rRNA
Rfam family: Bacterial small subunit ribosomal RNA
Source: RNAcentral